RNAcentral lists this unclassified non-coding RNA (229 nucleotides) under uncultured Rhodotorula. Its description in RNAcentral is "sequence contains ITS2". Lineage: Eukaryota; Fungi; Basidiomycota. The record is from RNAcentral.
ACUCUUCAACCCGCCCUUUUCCUUGUUGAUUAGGUGUCGGUGCUUGGAUUCUGAGCCUUUUGCUAUUCACUUAGCUGGCUCGUAAGACAUUAGCAUUUCAAAUUUCAUAAUCGGAUUGACUUGGCGUAAUAGACUAUUCGCUGAGGACACGACCUUCAUUGGAAGUGGCCGAGAUAAGAAAGCACGAAGAGCUACCAACCCUCCUAGUCAUUAAAAAACUAUUUUUAAG